GCCCACGAUGCGUAGUCGGCGACGCACCGCCCCGGUAAGGCGGAGAGCCGGGUUCGAUUCCCGGCGGGGGCUCCA
This 75-nucleotide transfer RNA is filed under the name Sandaracinus sp. RNAcentral's name for it is "tRNA-Thr". It matches the Rfam family "tRNA". From Rfam's summary of the family: Transfer RNA (tRNA) molecules are approximately 80 nucleotides in length. Lineage: Bacteria; Pseudomonadati; Myxococcota; Polyangiales; Sandaracinaceae. RNAcentral also lists the same sequence under 1 other name. The record is from RNAcentral.